RNAcentral lists this transfer RNA (75 nucleotides) under Prosthecobacter fusiformis. RNAcentral describes it as "tRNA-Thr". It matches the Rfam family "tRNA". Rfam says of the family: Transfer RNA (tRNA) molecules are approximately 80 nucleotides in length. Lineage: Bacteria; Pseudomonadati; Verrucomicrobiota; Verrucomicrobiia; Verrucomicrobiales; Verrucomicrobiaceae. The record is from RNAcentral. RNAcentral also lists the same sequence under 6 other names.
GCUGAUGUAGCUCAGUGGUAGAGCACGUCCUUGGUAAGGACGAGGUCGAGGGUUCAAUCCCCUUCAUCAGCUCCA